RNAcentral lists this transfer RNA (72 nucleotides) under Muntiacus reevesi (Reeves' muntjac). It matches the Rfam family "tRNA". From Rfam's summary of the family: Transfer RNA (tRNA) molecules are approximately 80 nucleotides in length. RNAcentral also lists the same sequence under 4 other names. The record is from Rfam by way of RNAcentral. Lineage: Eukaryota; Metazoa; Chordata; Mammalia; Artiodactyla; Cervidae.
UCCCUGGUAGCUCAGAUGGUAAAGCGUCUGCCUACAAUGCGGGAGACCCGGGUUCGAUCCCUGGGUUGGGAA